This 460-nucleotide ribosomal RNA is filed under the name uncultured bacterium. Its description in RNAcentral is "partial 16S ribosomal RNA". It matches the Rfam family "Bacterial small subunit ribosomal RNA", at positions 338 to 795 of the family's 1533-position model. The record is from RNAcentral.
CCUACGGGUGGCAGCAGUGAGGAAUAUUGGUCAAUGGGCGCGAGCCUGAACCAGCCAAGUAGCGUGAAGGAUGACUGCCCUACGGGUUGUAACCUUCUUUUAUAAAGGAGUAAAGUGAGGCACGUGUGCCUUUUUGUAUGUACUUUAUGAAUAAGGAUCGCCUAAUUCCGUGCCAGCAGCCGCGGUAAUACGGAGGAUCCGAGCGUUAUGCGGAUUUAUUGGGUUUAAAGGGAGCGUAGAUGGGUUGUUAAGUCAGUUGUGAAAGUUUGUGGCUCAACCGUAAAAUUGCAAUUGAUACUGGCAGUCUUGAGUAUAGUUGAGGUAGGUGGAAUUCGUGGUAUAGCGGUAAAAUGCUUAGAUAUCACGAAGAACACUGAUUGCGAAGGCAGCUUACUAGACUGCCACUGACAUUGAUGCUCGAAAGUGUGGGUAUCAAACAGGAUUAGAUACCCUUGUAGUC